RNAcentral lists this ribosomal RNA (266 nucleotides) under uncultured bacterium. RNAcentral describes it as "partial 16S ribosomal RNA". It matches the Rfam family "Bacterial small subunit ribosomal RNA", at positions 793 to 1055 of the family's 1533-position model. The record is from RNAcentral.
GUCCACGCUGUAAACGAUGUGUGCUAGACGCUGGGAAGCCUAGCUUUUCGGUGUCGCAGCUAACGCUUUAAGCACACCGCCUUGGGAGUACGGCCGCAAGGUUAAAACUCAAAGGAAUUUACGGGGCCCGCACAAGCGGUGGAGCAUGUGGUUUAAUUCGACGCAACGCGCAGAACCUUACCAGCUCUUGACAUGGGUAGUACGGUUCCGGGAGACCGGAUCCAUCAGUUCGGCUGGCUACCACACAGGUGCUGCAUGGCUGUCGU